Molecule: ribosomal RNA, 459 nt
Filed under: uncultured bacterium
Lineage: Bacteria
Description: partial 16S ribosomal RNA
Rfam family: Bacterial small subunit ribosomal RNA
Source: RNAcentral
CCUACGGGUGACAGCAGUGAGGAAUAUUGGUCAAUGGGCGGAAGCCUGAACCAGCCAAGUAGCGUGCGGGAUGAAGGCCCUACGGGUCGUAAACCGCUUUUGCACGGGGAUAACACCCUCCACUUGUGGAGGUCUGCAGGUACCGUGCGAAUAAGGGCCGGCUAAUUCCGUGCCAGCAGCCGCGGUAAUACGGAAGGCCCGGGCGUUAUCCGGAUUCAUUGGGCUAAAAGGGAGCGUAGGCGGGCGUUCAAGUCAGCUGGAAAAUCGCGCGGCUCAACCGCGCCCCGCAGUUGAAACUGGACGCCUUGAGUACACGACAGGCAGGCGGAAUUCGUGGUGUAGCGGUGAAAUGCAUAGAUAUCACGAGGAACCCCGAUUGCGAAGGCAGCCUGCCGGGGUGCGACUGACGCUGAGGCUCGAAGGUGCGGGUAUCAAACAGGAUUAGAUACCCGUGUAGUC